Molecule: ribosomal RNA, 581 nt
Filed under: Melampsora abietis-canadensis
Lineage: Eukaryota; Fungi; Basidiomycota; Pucciniomycetes; Pucciniales; Melampsoraceae
Description: eukaryotic LSU rRNA
Rfam family: Eukaryotic large subunit ribosomal RNA
Source: RNAcentral
GUUUGGGAAUGCAGCUCAAAGUGGGUGGUAAAUUCCAUCUAAGGCUAAAUAUAAGUGAGAGACCGAUAGCAUACAAGUACCGUGAGGGAAAGAUGAAAAGAACUUUGAAAAUAGAGUUAACAGUACGUGAAAUUGCUGAAAGGGAAACGUUUGAAGUUAGUAUUGUAUUCGUUGGAUCAGCUUCGCAAGGAGUGUAUUCCGAUGAUAAGCAAGUCAACAUCAAUCGAUGAGUGUUGGAUAAGGGUUUCGAGAAUGUAGCAAUUUAAUUGUGUUAUAGCUUGGGACUUGGAUACAACGCUCUUGAUUGAGGAACGCGUAGUAAGCUUUGAGCGGGUUCGAAAGAAUCUCCUUACUAUGGAUGUUGGUGAAAUAACUUUAAGCGACCCGUCUUGAAACACGGACCAAGGAGUCUAACAUGCUUGCGAGUAUUAGGGUGUUGAAACCCGAAUGCGUAAUGAAAGUGAAUUUCAGAUGUGAUCCGCAAGGUGCAACAUCGGCCGGUCCUGAUUAUUUAUAUGACGGUACUGAGCAAGAGCAAGUAUGUUAGGACCCGAAAGAUGGUGAACUAUGCCUGGAUAGGG